CAGAUCUAACUCUUCCAGCUCA
RNAcentral lists this microRNA (22 nucleotides) under Lottia gigantea (owl limpet). RNAcentral describes it as "lgi-miR-750". Its record names the gene lgi-miR-750. Lineage: Eukaryota; Metazoa; Mollusca; Gastropoda; Lottiidae. The record is from miRBase by way of RNAcentral.